AGAAAGGGAUUGCUUGCAAUCCUGAGUAGAGUGGCGCACGGGUGAGUAACACGUAGAUAAUCUACCUUCAAGCCUGGGAUAACUAUUCGAAAGGAUAGCUAAUACCGGAUAAAGUAUUUUGACAUAAGUCAAACUAUGAAAGAUUGCCUCUUCUUGAAAGCAAUUGUUUGGAGAUGAGUCUGCGGACCAUUAGUUAGUUGGUGGGGUAAAGGCCUACCAAGGCUACGAUGGUUAGCUGGUCUGAGAGGAUGAUCAGUCACACUGGAACUGGAACACGGUCCAGACUCCUACGGGAGGCAGCAGUGAGGAAUUUUGCGCAAUGGGGGAAACCCUGACGCAGCAACGCCGCGUGAGUGAAGAAGGCCUUUGGGUCGUAAAGCUCUGUCAACUGGGAAGAAGUUACAAUUAUCCAAUAGGUAGUUGUAUUGACGGUACCAGUGGAGGAAGCGCCGGCUAACUCCGUGCCAGCAGCCGCGGUAACACGGGGGGCGCAAGCGUUAUUCGGAAUUAUUGGGCGUAAAGGGCGCGUAGGCGGUCUUGUCGGUCAGAUGUGAAAGCCCGGGGCUCAACCCCGGACGUGCAUUUGAAACAGCAAGACUUGAGUACGGGAGAGGAAAGCGGAAUUCCUGGUGUAGAGGUGAAAUUCGUAGAUAUCAGGAGGAACACCGAUGGCGAAGGCAGCUUUCUGGACCGAUACUGA
RNAcentral lists this ribosomal RNA (700 nucleotides) under uncultured bacterium. RNAcentral describes it as "bacterial SSU rRNA". It matches the Rfam family "Bacterial small subunit ribosomal RNA", at positions 67 to 743 of the family's 1533-position model. The record is from RNAcentral.